CUGCACGUUCAAACUAAAACAAUGUAACUAAUAAUGGCAUCUUAUGCUUUCGUUAAUAAAAUUUGUUUCCUAAGAGCCCAAUCCGAAAGUAACUUUCUGAUAUCAUCCUCCUCGUCUGUACUUUUAUCAAUGCUCAACCUCUGUGCCCUCAGUGAAGCUCUCGUUAACCCCACCCUCACUACCACUUAGUGUUCAAACAUCAGCUGGCUAAACCCUACUAUUUGACUCCUGCAUUGGAAGAGCCACUUGCACAAAAUUGCUUAUAACAAUCAUGCCUCUCUUCCCUUUCCACAGAUCAUGACUUUAGUUUUUACAAAUCUUGAGCAACUCCCCUCUGAAUAUUUCUACGUUUACUCCAGUAACUGGACAUUUUACCUGGAAACUUUCGGUAUGAUACCAUCAACGCUGGAAUGUUUAACAUCACUUUAAGUCAACAACAAAACAAUGCAAGACUGGUUAUCUAAGAAGGGCAACAACAGGAAAGUUAAAUGUAAAUUAAUCUCCAUGGUAUGUUUCUUUGUGUGUGUGUCUAAGGAUGGUGGAAAUGUUUUACUAUGCAUGCAGAUACUACACUGAAUAUAUAACGCCAAUACUAGACUGAUGUAGUCCUAUGUUUCCUCAGCUGUGUGGAGCAAAACAUUUUAUCUUUGACAUGAGGUGGCUGAUCGCAGAACAGUGUUAAAAAUAUUUACAGUUAAUUCUAUUGGUGCGUAAACUGGUGAAAUGGCGAUUAUGAUUGGUGCUCAUUUUUGUUGACCACAUUACCUUUUACUCAGUAUUUAAAUGUCUCAGCUCUGAAUUAAAGCGACACCAAAGAGCUAUGCUACAAUAUUAUCAACGUGAUGAGGAUGCCUCUGUGCAGCUGGAUGAGAGGUAACAUCAACUCACCUUGGCUUUCUACUGGGACAACAGAGACGCCGACUGGGUUUUUAGAGACAGAUGCGCAAGCAAGGUGAUCCAGAUGAUGAGCUGUUCUCUCCAGAGGAUUCCACAGGACAACGUUUAUAUGUGGUACCACACAUCAGGUGUCGUCCAUCUUCCCCAGUGUAUUCAUACCUGUGUUCUCUGUUUCCAGUUUGUUUUGUCCGUCAAGCCUACCAGCGGUUUUCCCCUUGCGCCUGUCUUUUUCUAUAGUUCCUGUUUUCCUGGUUUUGACCAUUCUGCUUGCCCUGACCCUGAGCCUGCCUGGUGUUCUGUACCUUGUCACGCCACCCUGGACUGAAACUACCUGCCGUUCUGUACCUUUUGCAGGAAUGCAAUCUGGUGAGGGCCAAAAAGGUGACACUUUUGUUUUAUUGCACUGAAACAUGCAACAACAAAAAAUCAUUGCAAGGGAGAAGUGCAGGUUUUAACUAAUUAAACAACAAAGAAUAUGAUCUACAUGAUCAGUCUCUGUGUGUAAAAUGAAAAAUGGUUAAUGUGAACUAACUCACAGCUAAAAAAUGUAAAGAAAGCAAUCCAAUGUUAUUUGUUACCUAGACUACUGCAAAUGAGUCUUGAGAAAAAAACAAUACUAAUAUUGUAGUUAGCCAUGCCAUGACAGCCUUUAUAAUAGAACGCUUGUGACCACACACAUCUAAAUAUUGCACUUGGGGGGGAAAAAACAUCUUAAAAUAGAAAGAAACAAACAGGCUCUAUUAUAGUGGCCACAAGGCUACAUGUGUGCAAAAAUAAUGUUCACUGAGUAAAAAAAAAUAUA
Salmo salar (Atlantic salmon) is the source of this 1699-nucleotide long non-coding RNA. RefSeq lists it as uncharacterized. The record is from RefSeq and is a predicted model, not a curated record. Lineage: Eukaryota; Metazoa; Chordata; Actinopteri; Salmoniformes; Salmonidae.